Antechinus flavipes (yellow-footed antechinus) is the source of this 5803-nucleotide long non-coding RNA. RefSeq lists it as uncharacterized. The transcript is spliced from 3 exons. The record is from RefSeq and is a predicted model, not a curated record. NCBI's taxonomy places the organism in Eukaryota, Metazoa, Chordata, Mammalia, Dasyuromorphia, Dasyuridae.
UCAUAUUGCUAUAGAUAAUGUUGAUUACUUCGUCUGAAGACUGUUCAUAUCUCUUGAUAACUUAUCAAUUGGGGAAUAGGUCUUACCUUUAUAAAUUUGACUUAGUUCUCUGUAUGUCUCAGAAUAAAGCCUUUAUCAGAAAAAUUUGCAUCAAAUUUUUUUUUCAAUUACUACUGCUGUUUUCCCCUCCAACCUAUUCCCCAUCUCAUUUAUUCUAUUUUUCACUCUCUUUUCACCCUGUCCUUGAAAAUGUUUUGCUUUUGACUACCCCUAUCUGCUUUCCCUUCUACCAUCACCCCCUUCUCUUAUGCCCUUUCAGUUCUGCUUUCCUAUAGGAUAAAAUAGAAUUCUAUAUUCCAAUUCAAUGUGCAUGUUAUUCUAUUUUUGAGCCAAUUCUGAUUUAAAAAAAAAAAAAGAUUCAUUUGUUCCCUUUUACCUACAUUUUUUCUUGUCUCUUGAGAAUAUAGCAUCCUGCCCCAGUGCUGGCAAAGAAACCUCUAUAAUCUCCUUCUGACCAGUUGCUUGACCCUUGCACCAUUUCAUUUGUGGGCUGAGAAGUCUGGAAGCAGCAAUUUUUGCAAUUUUGACUCCCAAGGCCCACUCCUGGUUUGCUGGGGCCAGGGAUGUAGUAGUGUAACAGAUCUUUCCUGAUGUCCUUCUAAGUUGUCUUUGACUGAAAAAUUAUUCCAUCUUGUUUUUUUUCAUGGGUUCUGCUGCUCCAGGGAUUAUUUUAUGGCAUUAUUUAAAGGAGUCGGAAAAGGUUUGGGGGAGAACUCAGGCAAGUUACUGUCUUUUCUCCACCAUCUUGGCUCUACCCCACAACGUUUUUUUUUUUUUUUUUAAUAGUUAGCCAACAAAAUCAGUUACAGCAUAUCUCCAAGGCCUUCUCUUACACAAAAUCACAAUUCUCUUAGCAGGCUGAUGGAGUCAGCACAUGCACCAUAUCAUCAUUAUGGAAGUCAAAGAAUACUACAAGCAUCCCAAGAGUUCAAGUAUCAAGGAAACAUAGUCAGAAUCACACAAGACUUAGAAGCAACUAUUAUAAGAAAGAGAAAAUCUUAGAACACAGUGUUCCAAAAGACAAAGAUAAAGGCUUUAUAACCAAAAAAAAACACUGAAAAACUGAGUUUAAUCUACAGAUCAGAGAAAUGGACUUUUAAUAAAAGACUUUUAAAAACUCCUAAGAAAAAGACCAGACACAUGUAUACAUAUAUUGUAUUUAACUUAUACUCUAACAUAUUUAAUAUGUAUUGGUCAACCUGCCAUCUGGGGGAGGGGAUGGGAGGAAGGAGGGGAAAAGUUGGAACAAAAGGUUUUGCAAUUGUCAAUGCUGAAAAAUUACCCAUGCAUAUAUCUUGUAAAUAAAAAGCUAUAAUAAAAAAAAAAAAGAAAAAGAAAGAAAAAGACCAGAACUGAGUAGAAACUUUGAAAUGCAAACAGGGAGCAAUAGAAAUCUACAAAUAGAAAUACAUUUGAGCAAUCAGAGGGAACAAAAUAAUUAAUGAUAAAGUGUUUACAUUCUAUUGGGAAGGAAUAGAAAAUUCAGAAUUCUAAUAAAUAUUCAAGGGUCACAAAGGAAGUUAAGUGAGAUAAACACAAAGUCUGGUUGUUUCAUUGGAUUUAGGAAAGGAAAGAGAAGGAAGAAGAAAAGUCUUAUACUAAGGGAAAAUGAGGAAGAAAAGAGAGAGAAACUUGCUACUUCAAAUAAAUGAGGUAUUCAAGAAGAGUGGAGCUAGUAGCACAAUGGCCUCUCUCUGGUCCAUACCAGAUUAAGAAGAGUUGACCCCCAUAUGUAAAGUUUGGCAUAGAAAUACAUUAAAGUCAGUGAGGAAAAAGGUAGCAGAUGGGUUAAGAGGGAUAGUAGAAUCAGAGAGAUAAUAGUAAAAAACAUAAAAAAAAACUCCAAAAUUUCAGCUUUGAGGGGGUGUUCAUAAUAAGAAAUUUAAAAGAAAAAAAAAGAAAACAAGAAAAAAAUCAGGAUUUGGACCUGCUGAAGAUGGGGGUGGGUGGGGAAGAGAGAAGGAAAAGGAACAGAAGAGUAGGAACAGACCACUUCCAUUAUGGUUUACCAGUAUUGAUAAGAUUCCUUUUUUUUGUCCAUACUCUACUUCUUUGUAAAGAAAAGGUGGAUGGGCAGCUAGAUGAUGCAGUGGAUAAAGCACCAGCCCUGAAGUCAGAAGGACCCGAGUUUCAAAUCUGAACUCAGACACUUAACAUUGCCUCGCUGUGUGACCCUGGGAAGGAAACCAGACCAGCUGGUCCAUCCACUGCACCAAGAAAGCGAGUUCACCCUUCAGCCUCAGCACCUAGGAGAAGACGGUGCGGACGCACACGCGUCAGAGGCAGGAACCACUCGGGAGCGAGGGAGCGGGCGCUGAUCCUGGGCUCUAAGCAACAAGAGUAAACUUUAAACCAAGGAUCCAGACCCUGGAGGGCGCUGGGACCAAUCAGAGCUGGCUUCCUGUCACAGCUGCCCAUUGCAAUCCUUCUUCACCUCUACUGAGAAUAAAGAUUGAAGAUUUUCCCCUUAACCUGAAUUCCUGACUCCGGCUGAUUUUAAAUACGUGGUCAUCAAAUUUGGCGCCCAAGCAUGGAUACCAAGGACCCUACUUCACUGAAGAAGUCUCCAGUGACCAGGAACUUAGGUGAGUAUAAUAGACUAAACUUAGUAACCUUUUUUGGCUGAAAUGGGACAGAUGCUAGCUAAAGAUUCUCCAUCCCCCACCCCAACCCCCCCAACCCCAGCCCCACCCAGGAGUGGUGCUAUAGAAAGCCUGCUUAAGCUGAUAGAAGAUCAUGGGCUACUUGUAACUUGGUAACAGACAGCUAGACUUCUGGGUACAUUAAAACCCACCUCCCCUUGGUUCUUAGAGGAAGAGCAAAUCUCUCCAGAUAAUUGGGCAUUGAUUGGUCAACAGCUCUCUGCAUAUUACAAAAAAACGGUUCUCAUUCAAUUUCUAUCAAGGCAUUCUAUUUAUACAAUAUAAUACAGUUGGCCUUAAGAAGUCGUAUAAAUUCUAGAAGAAAAGGAAAAAAUUCUAGGAAUAGCCAAAUGGGGAAGCCUGAGAUAAAGGAGGAAGACAAAGAACAGAUUAAUGACCAUAUCCCCGCAGGGCAUGGAGACUUAAGUGAGGCUCAAGGGUGGGGUGAAUCUGAGGCAGCUUCAGCCCCACCUGAGGAGCAGGUAAUUGUGUCUCCUCCAUCAACUCCACCUUCCGGGAUGGAGGGAGAAGUGGUAGUGGGGUGGGGAGGGGGGGGCAGUGACAGCACCAGCACCUCCCCACCAGCAUCCAGCCUUUCCUAUGAGUAGAUUGCAAAAGGGACUAAUUAAGGCCAAAGCACAAGGGAGAAAUGUAUCAGAAUUUCAACACCACAUUUUUCCUGUAAUUCAACAGUUUAAUUCUUCAGGUCAAGAAAGUAGAUGAUACGCUCCUUUUGAAAUAGAAAUCCUCAAAGACCUGAAAAAGGCUUGCACUCUUUAUGGGGCUACAUCAGUUUAUGUUAAGAUGUUAAUACAGAAUUUGGCUUUUGAAAUCUUGACCCCUAAUGACUGGAAAUCUAUAGCAAGGAUAUGCCUAGAACUUGGACAAAACUACUUGUGGCUUUCUGAAUAUAGUGAGCUCUGUAGGAUACAAGCCCAACAAAAUAGUCAAAGUGGAAUUCAUGCUGCACCUGUGACCUACUAACAGGUGUAGGUUCCUAUGCAGACAUCGCAGUACAGAUUAAUUAUUCCAUAGCAGCAUAUGAGCAAAUUGCUGCUAAUGCUAUCAAAGCGUGGGCUUCUCUCCACAAUGAAGAUGACAAAGGUGGGGCCUUCACAAAAAUAACACAAGGGCCAAAUGAACCCUUGGCUGACUUUGUGGGACGUUUGCAGACAGCUAUCACAAGAACGAAUGGGGAAAAUGUAGUAACAGACAUUUUGAUAAGGCAACUUGCUAAGGAAAAUGCUAAUGAGGUUUGCAGAGGAAUUAUACUAGGACUGCACAAGAAUGCUCCUUUAAAGGAACUCAUAAGGCUAUGCCACAGUGGGUACAAAUGCUUAUUAUACCCAAACUAUGUUGAAUAUGGAAAGACAGGAUCCUUUUUGGCAAAGAAAUUCUAGAGAAACUUGUAGAUGCUUUCAGUGUGGAAAAGUUGGACAUUUGAGAGCUCAUUGUAGAUAUGGAGAUAGAAUGAGAAGACAGGGUAAGAGAAUAAAACCCAAAACCCCAUGUCCAAAAUGUAACCGAGGCUUUCACUGGGCCUCUGAAUGUAGAUUGAUCCAGAGAAAUGAGAGGCAGGGCCCAGCUCCAAGGUAUCAAUCAAAAGAUAGGUGGGGCAUGAUAGCAGCUGAGGUUACACCCAGAGAGUCUUUAGAAAUUCAGGACUCUGAUGUCAUCCACCAACAGAAAAGCAAUCAGGAUUACAGUUGGGGAGGUUAGAGGCCUUUUAACACAACAGGGCAGUGUCCAGUGCAAACAGCUCCACUAUCUUUAGAUAAUCACCAGGUGAUGUGAAGAGAUCCAGAAAGUGGUAAAUAGAAGGGAAUUAGGUUAACUACUUGGGGAAGAGGGUUUGCUUAUAUUUUUACAGGAGGAGAAGGAAUCAGAUGGGUGCUAACAAGCCGUAUUCGCCUUGUCCAUCACAGAGAGACGGAGCAGAUCCUUGAAACGAAGAAGACCCAAGAAAUAUCGGGUGGUUCUGUUGCUGAUUGUGCUCACCAUUGAAAGAACGUGGCAGUUAUGGUGCCAUGGACAUAGAAAAUUGUAGGACUUGAAAACCCUCAGGAAUCACUGGAUUCUCUGAGACAUAAGAUUGUUGUAGGACUUGAAAACCCUCAGGAAUCAUUGGAUUCUUUGAGACAUAAGACUUGAAAGCCCUCAGGAAUCAUUGGAUUUUCUGAGAAAUGAUAAGACUCUUACAGGACUUCAAAAUCUGCUGGAAUCAUUGUUUUCCCUAACACAUAAAAAGACUUUUGCAGGACUUCAAAAAAUUGGGGGGAUCAUUGGAUUCCCUGAUAUGUGAAACAAUGGACAAUAGAUUGGUUUUGGGCUAUUUCUUGGCUGCUGAAGAAGGCAUAUGUGUGACUGCUGUUUACAUACUCUCCUUCUAGGACUUCUGGCAAUCUUUUACAACACAAUGUUGAUUUAUAUUGUUUGUUAUACCAUUACUUGUGUAUACAAUUCAUGUUUGUUACACCACAUCAAGCCUGCACUGGCUGUGGAGAGUGUGUCAUCACUAAUAGCCUGUGUGUUAUUGCUAUGUGCUUGUGUAAUACCUCCCAUGCUGAUGGGUUUGUGUAUAAUAAAACCUUUCAGCCCAGAAACCUGCUAGCAACCCCCACUUCCUUUUGGUGCUUUUCAUCUCCCUUCCUGAGAUGUCAGGGAGGGUGUGAUGGCUCUGAUCUCCCUGAGGAGUCAGAGAUGGCAUGACCACCUGUGUUCUGAAACAAAAGAAAGCAGGAGAUGUAAUGGGCUGAGGCUCGAGUUGGUGCACUGAGGUCCCAAGCACGUGAGGCUAAAUAGUAAUUGGACCAUACUCUAUUAAUAUAAAUGCUUGGAGAAAGAAUGGCCCUCGCCCACUCUUUGUGCAAGUUCUGAUGUGUUGUAUAGGCAAUGACGAUUUUGGUGGGUGGAGGCGGGGAGUGGAAAAGGAAGUGGUAAGAGAGACUGCUAGCUGGCGUCUUGACACAGCUGCUCACAUUGCUAUCGGCUACUGCCCUUCACCUUCUAUCCCCCUCUGCUAGCUGGCUUCCUGUCACAGCUGCCCAUUGCAAUCCUUCUUCACCUCUACUGAGAAUAAAGAUUGAAGAUUUUUCCCUUAA